Molecule: ribosomal RNA, 484 nt
Filed under: uncultured bacterium
Lineage: Bacteria
Description: partial 16S ribosomal RNA
Rfam family: Bacterial small subunit ribosomal RNA
Source: RNAcentral
AUUGAACGCUGGCGGCAUGCUUUACACAUGCAAGUCGAACGGCAGCGCGGGCUUCGGCCUGGCGGCGAGUGGCGAACGGGUGAGUAAUACAUCGGAACGUGCCCAGUAGUGGGGGAUAGCUCGGCGAAAGCCGGAAUAAUACCGCAUACGACCUGAGGGUGAAAGCGGGGGAUCUUCGGACCUCGCGCUAUUGGAGCGGCCGAUGGCAGAUUAGCUAGUUGGUGGGGUAAAGGCCUACCAAGGCGACGAUCUGUAGCUGGUCUGAGAGGACGACCAGCCACACUGGGACUGAGACACGGCCCAGACUCCUGCGGGAGGCCGCAGUGGGGAAUUUUGGACAAUGGGCGAAAGCCUGAUCCAGCAAUGCCGCGUGUGUGAUGAAGGCCUUCGGGUUGUUAAGCACUUUUGGCGGGAACGAAAAGGACUGUGCCAAUACCACGGUUCGAUGACGGUACCCGCAGAAUAAGCUCCGGCUAACUACGUG